RNAcentral lists this long non-coding RNA (1098 nucleotides) under Rattus norvegicus (Norway rat). RNAcentral describes it as "long non-coding RNA NONRATT032993". Lineage: Eukaryota; Metazoa; Chordata; Mammalia; Rodentia; Muridae. The record is from RNAcentral.
AGGUUCCCUGAGCCCUGAAUGGAGGGAUUUGAUGGAGGAAUCUUGUUUAGGGCCGACUCAUUAGACAUUCUUUAAAAGCAAUUUUGAGACAGUGUUUCCUGUGGCCCAGGCUGGCUUUGAACUCACCAUGUGGUCAAAGCUGACACUAAACUUCUGACAGUCCUGCUGGGAUUAGUGGCAUGUAAUUCUUCAUUUUUCAUUUUAAAGACACAGCUUUGUCUCUGCUUCACUGUGGGAACAGCCUUGCGUGGAAGUCCACAGCCAAUCCUGGCUUUGGCCCUUGGUAGCACCAGCCAGAGAUCAGAAGGUACAAGUGUUGGGAUGGGAGGAAGUGACUCUUUCCCUCCCUGCCCACUCCUCCACUGAGGGGUUUAGCUUCCCUGGAGCUGUCUUCUCAGCUAUGGCACUUUUGGCUUAGCAACAACACUGCUUCUUGACCUUCAGCUCCAAGGGAGCAGACACCUUUCUGCUGUGGUUAGUUCUGGAGUGCUCAGCCAUCCUCUGUGAGUUCCCUUAGUCAUCCCUGCAAGUGGUCCCUCUGAAAAGAUCUCCUCAGUGGUGACUCACCAUCUGCUUCCUUCCGGGACCUUGACUGAUGAAGUGGUCAAAAUAAGCUCCUUCACCGGAGGCUCUGAGAGAGGCAAGGAAGAUAAGGAAGAUAGUUCUAUCUGCGCGCCGCAGCCUGCUGCUCGCCAAAUACUGUGGGAACAAUUCGAAGGGAUACAGUGAGAGCGAGCUCUGUGCGGUCAGCGGUCUACACAAGCUACAUAAAUAGCUCUGCCCUCAACAAUGCAUAUGACCGAAUCCUUAUAACAACUCUGUUGCUUUAUCAUAAAUUCAAACAAGAGGAACUGAAUUUCAGAAAGGUUUAGUUACUUUCCCAAGGUCUCCAGCAUGUAGUUUCAGAAUUGGGAUUGAACUCUGGCUGCCUCUAAAGCCCAUGCCCUGUUCACAAUAGUUGCUUAGGACCCUUCUGUAAGCAGAAGCUGUGAGAAUUUCUGGGGUGGAAGGGUCUUGUCUCAGUGGUGGGAAAGCGAGGAUAGGAAGCCUGGCUGCUGUUUCAGGAGAAGAGACUGUGGUGGUGAACUUGGAAGGAGC